This 1403-nucleotide ribosomal RNA is filed under the name metagenome. RNAcentral describes it as "bacterial LSU rRNA". It matches the Rfam family "Bacterial large subunit ribosomal RNA", at positions 1537 to 2925 of the family's 2925-position model. The record is from RNAcentral.
AAAAUCCGGGAGAUCAAUGUCGAGGCGUGAUAACGAGUGGCUUCGGCCGCGAAGUGAUUGAUACCCUGCUUCCAAGAAAAGCCUCUAAGCUUCAGUUAUCCAGAGACCGUACCGCAAACCGACACAGGUGGGCAGGAUGAAAAUUCUCAGGCGCUUGAGUGAACUCAGGAGAAGGAACUCGGCAAAUUUGCACCGUAACUUCGGGAGAAGGUGCGCCCUGAUAGGUUGUAGCCCCUCGCGGGUGAAGGCUGAAAGGGUUGCAGUGAACUGGUGGCUGCGACUGUUUAAUAAAAACACAGCACUCUGCAAACACGAAAGUGGACGUAUAGGGUGUGACGCCUGCCCGGUGCCGGAAGGUUAAGUGAUGGGGUGCAAGCUCUUGAUCGAAGCCCCGGUAAACGGCGGCCGUAACGAUAACGGUCCUAAGGUAGCGAAAUUCCUUGUCGGGUAAGUUCCGACCUGCACGAAUGGCGUAACGAUGGCCACACUGUCUCCUCCUGAGACUCAGCGAAGUUGAAAUGGUUGUGAAGAUGCAAUCUCCCCGCGGUUAGACGGAAAGACCCCAUGAACCCUUACUGUAGCUUUGCAUUGGACUUUGAACCGACUUGUGUAGGAUAGGUGGGAGGCUGUGAAACCGGGACGCUAGUCCGGGUGGAGCCAACCUUGAAAUACCACCCUGGUUUGUUUGAGGUUCUAACCACGGCCCGUGAAUCCGGGUCUGGGACCGUGCAUGGUAGGCAGUUUGACUGGGGCGGUCUCCUCCUAAAGUGUAACGGAGGAGUACGAAGGUACGCUAGGUACGGUCGGACAUCGUGCUAAUAGUGCAAUGGCAAAAGCGUGCUUGACUGCGAGACCCACACGUCGAGCAGGUACGAAAGUAGGUCAUAGUGAUCCGGUGGUUCUGUAUGGAAGGGCCAUCGCUCAACGGAUAAAAGGUACUCUGGGGAUAACAGGCUAAUACCGCCCAAGAGUUCAUAUCGACGGCGGUGUUUGGCACCUCGAUGUCGGCUCAUCACAUCCUGGGGCUGUAGUCGGUCCCAAGGGUAUGGCUGUUCGCCAUUUAAAGUGGUACGUGAGCUGGGUUUAAAACGUCGUGAGACAGUUUGGUCCCUAUCUGCCGUGGGCGCUGGAAAUUUGAAGGGGGCUGCUCCUAGUACGAGAGGACCGGAGUGGACGAACCUCUGGUGUACCGGUUAUGACGCCAGUCGUAUCGCCGGGUAGCUAUGUUCGGAAGAGAUAAACGCUGAAAGCAUCUAAGCGUGAAACUCGCCUUAAGAUGAGAUUUCCCCGGGGACUUGAUCCCCCUGAAGGGUCGUGGUAGACCACUACGUUGAUAGGCUGGGUGUGGAAGCGCAGCAAUGCGUUCAGCUAACCAGUACUAAUUGCCCGUGAGGCUUGAUCCC